GGGAAGCAUCAUUGGAAUUAGUAGAAAAUGAUAAGUAGCAGAAGUUUCAUUUGGAUAUCAAAAUUCUAAAAGACUAAUUUGCCUUCAAAACGAAAAUGAAAAUAUCAUUUCUAAAACUCCACUGUACUUUAGAAAUAUAGUUUGAGGGUCUGGAUCAGUAAUUUUUUUCCCCUUGUACACACAUCACUGAGUUGAUAAUUUUGCUUUCAGCCUUCACUCAAAAAUGAACUGCGGCAAUGAAAUCAGAUAAAUGGCGCCUAACAAAAACCUGAACCAGAUAUUCAUGAAACACAUAUAACUAUAGAAAUUCUACAAGUUUUACUCAAGAAAAGGUACUUUUACUAAGCUCAUCUGU
Molecule: unclassified non-coding RNA, 355 nt
Filed under: Hevea brasiliensis (rubber tree)
Lineage: Eukaryota; Viridiplantae; Streptophyta; Magnoliopsida; Malpighiales; Euphorbiaceae
Source: RNAcentral